Strigops habroptila (Kakapo) is the source of this 2466-nucleotide long non-coding RNA. Lineage: Eukaryota; Metazoa; Chordata; Aves; Psittaciformes; Psittacidae. The record is from Ensembl.
UAGGAAAAAACUGACAUAAGUUUUAGAUUUUAUUCAUUCAUACAUUAUUUACAGCAGUUGCUUUCAUAUUACAAUUCUCUUUCAUCUUUUCAGUUUUCACUUAUAAAAAAUUAACCAAAUAAACCUUAUAUAACCAAAUUUAUCACAGCAGGUCUGGUUAAUUUUCACAGUUACAGCGGCCAUCAGGAUCAGAACUUAAGUACCUACAAGUCAUUCAUCCGGAGCACCUCGCCUGCCCUGCCUGAGGACACCCUCUGUCCCUCAGGAGCUGGCUGGCUCCCGGGGCUCUGCCAAUGGAAGAUGGAGAGACCACGCUGCAUCGGGAUAACGCUUUGUAGGCUGGAGCUCAAGUGCCUAAAGCACACCAAGGGCUAACUCGCACACGUCCUGCCACACUAGAGAACUGGGUUGUAUCGAUACGUCUGCAAGCAGCUUUCCACCAGAGCUGACUCUGCUUCCCUCUCUAAGCAAAGUGUAUUCAUUUAUUCUAUUUUCUGCUAUUGUUGAGCCCCACUAGUGCAGUAGCACAGCACACCGGGGCAUGAGACUGCGGCAAUGAGCAUCCGCCUUCCUCUGUGUGACUCUGACAGCUCUUCCUUGUGCCUGUCUCUCCCACCGGGAAUGCAAUUGCAACAACUCACCCUUUAGAACUUUGGUGAAAAGCCCACUCUGUGUAAGGACUUACACCACUGAGGAACGACUCAGGUGGAGGGAUCCUGCAUGGGCAUAUUCUCUGCCAAAGUGAAGUCAAAGACUGAUGGCCUUUCCUAGUACUUAACCCUGCUCCCCAGGUGCAAUAGCAGCACUGAUGCCAGUGUGUUCCUAACAGUAUCACCUUUGUUAGCUGUCUCCCUGUGCUCUCCCCCACGUGCUCAUUUGCUUUACAGUGGUAAUUAUUGCUGUUUUAAAUAUGUUAGUUUUUUCUUUGAGGACUUGUAGCCACUUCCCAUUACAAAGUACAGUACAUACUAUGCCGAACAUAGAAAACACAAGACUAAUUUCACAUCGGUCUUGUACAACGGUGAGGAGAUGCAGAGUAAGAGGCUGUUCGGGGGAAAUCCAAGUUUCUAUUCAGGCAUGAGUUUAGCCUGUAACCCAUGAACUAAAUAGCCACUGCCUUGAACAUGAACAGUUCUUGUAAGCAAUUUAGCCCCAGUUUGGGUUUUUUUUUUUCAACUGACAUUGGACAUGUUCCAAAUUCAUACCACACAUCUCCUUAACACCACCAAAAAAAAUAGCUUCUUUUUUCCUUUACCGCAUUUGUCUCAAGAAGACUUUUGCUUUAAUAAAAUAACACAAGCACACGAAUUGCUUAAAGCUAACGGCCCAGCACAAUCAUAAGUACAACUCACAAAGCAACGGAUGCUUUGUGAAACCUAAUUACAUUUUUAAAAAAGCAAAUAUACAUAUUACAAGUCAAAAGGACUAAGCUUUGGAGGAAAAGAAAUGGAAAACAACGUUAGCUGUAUGUUCAUUAUGCUUACAUAGCAGUAGCUGCUUCUGCAUUCAAACAUGUUACUCGUAAGUAAGUUUACAGUUGCAUUAGGUAUUUGUAUGCUCUUGUCUCAAUAAGUCCAUCUUCUACUAUUCAGAUGUUGAAAGCAUAUUCUCUCCCGCAGCUGACCAUCGUGUAAUACAAAGACAGCACUGAACAGUGAUUUUAAACAGUGAUCAAUCUCCAAACGCUGACUUAGAGCUCACUGUUUUAAAUGACACUGUAUUUUAACUAAACUCGGUUGUUCAAAUUAUUCUCUUAUUUGAUUUUCAAUUAAAGGUACUCCAAAGGACCACUCAGGCAGCAGAUUUUUGGUGGGAGAUAAACAUAAUCUCUGUGCAUAGUCUCUAUUACUGAGGGAUGUAAGAGCACACCUUUUUUCUUUUGUUUGUUUGCUGUGUGGAUCUAUUUUGAGGGAGAAAAUAAAAAAAGAUAAAAUGAUCCUUUUGCAUUUUAAAGCUUAUUUAACGGUUUGCAUCCCUUAGUUUUAGUUUUCUUUAUGUGGUGUGGUAUAUUCCACCGCAAGACUCCAGUUGGCACGGAAUUAAAAUGCCUUUAUUAAGCUUUAAACAGAGUGCAUACCAACAGCAUCACACCAGUGCUAAUAAAACAGGCUCCCCGCACACUGAAAAUGAGAUUGUUAAUUCAGAGGUAACCGGAGCCGGUUCCUGCCUUUGUGUGUUUGGCAAUUCGGAAAUCCCUGCAGUCAGUCCCUAUCCAUUCGCACCUCAGCCAGCAAAUCUGGCAAAUUAAAAGGCAGCAGACCUCCAUCAUGGACGGGUUCAGUGAGCAAUGGGCAGCAGUAAGGAUCAUGAUAAGGUUCUGCAAAACCCUGGUUCCCUCGGGAAUUCUGACCACAGGACUUUGUUGGCUGCAGCAAGAAAGGGGCCUGAUCCCCAGCAGGCACCCAGCACUUUGUGCUCCCGCAGCACUGGGACCUCAACAGGCACAUCCAAACCCCAACAGCCACC